CAGGGACAAGUGAGGGUCCCGGCUUAUUCCAUAUAGCCAUUUUGGCUUAAUGGCUUAAUGGUUAAGCCGUAAAGAAACACUUCUCUAUGGCUGAGCAACGGUUAGUGUCAUGAACUGGUAAAAGGGGUUUGGUAAAUAACAUGUAAAAAAUGAGUUAUACGAUUUAUUGUGGUUGGGUGACUCAGAAGGAUUAAAGAUGAUAGGUUGCGAGUCUUGAACAGGUGUUUGUUUUUAAUCCUGUGGGCUUUUAUUCAUGCAGGAAAGAAGAAUUCAUGUGCUUUGUGGGGACUAAAAUGGAUGGAAAGAAAUGAUAGAUCGCAUUCCGCCUACGAGUCCAUGAUACGUUUGGUCUGGUCAAUCUGCUGUGUGACGGAAAGCAAAACGGAUGGAGGCAAGGCAAAGCAAAGAAAAGAAAUGGGUGAGUUUGCUCAGCAUCACCAUCAUCAUCAUCAUCAUCAUCAUCAUCAUCAUCAUCUUGAAGUGACACCCAUGGGCUUUCAUACCAGAACUUUAUUCCUUCAUGUUGAUUAAGCCUCUUUUUCUCAUAUUUGGCCCCCCCCCCUUGUUUUGUGGGUUUGAC
This is a long non-coding RNA of Cynara cardunculus var. scolymus (artichoke), 580 nucleotides long. RefSeq lists it as uncharacterized. NCBI's taxonomy places the organism in Eukaryota, Viridiplantae, Streptophyta, Magnoliopsida, Asterales, Asteraceae. The transcript is spliced from 3 exons. The record is from RefSeq and is a predicted model, not a curated record.